UACAUAGGAUGCAAGCGUUAUCCGGAAUUACUGGGCGUAAAGGGUUCGUAGGCGGCUAUUUAAGUCAGGGGUGAAAUCUUCGGGCUCAACCCGAAAACUGCUUCUGAAACUAAUUGGCUCGAGUGAGGGAGAGGCUGAUGGAAUUCUGCAAGUAGGGGUAAAAUCCGUUGAUCUGCAGAGGAACACCAAAAGCGAAGGCAAUCAGCUGGACCUCAACUGACGCUGAAGAACGAAAGCGUGGGUAGCGAACGGG
Molecule: ribosomal RNA, 253 nt
Filed under: uncultured bacterium
Lineage: Bacteria
Description: partial 16S ribosomal RNA
Rfam family: Bacterial small subunit ribosomal RNA
Source: RNAcentral